This 2071-nucleotide long non-coding RNA is filed under the name Lactuca sativa (garden lettuce). RNAcentral's name for it is "long non-coding RNA (LSAT_LNC003228)". Lineage: Eukaryota; Viridiplantae; Streptophyta; Magnoliopsida; Asterales; Asteraceae. The record is from RNAcentral.
GAAUCUUCAAAACUAAUAACUAUAUCUUUCUCCGAAAUUAUCGGUACCUUGAAUCUCUAAAAAAUAAAUUUACAUUCGUGAGCAACUCCGGCUCAACCCUCUUGUCGCUGCUCUACCUUCACCGCCAUUUUAUGCACAAACCGUUCAUUUAAGCACACCUCUUUUUCUCUCCAAACCUCUUUUGAUCUAUCAAACCGUACUAUAAAAUCUCACAAUCUGGCCUUCCAUCUUCAAGCCGAGAAAUCAGUUACUAAUAACCAAUAUUUUGGGGUUGAUUAGCAAGAUUCAACAAAAUUAUGAAGGUAAUCGCUUCCAAAUUUUAAUCUCUCUAUAAAUUGUAAUCCACCGUAUUCUUUUUUACUGAUCAAUCGUUGAAAGUUUUGAACCCUGAAGUUAUUUGAUCUAGAAGUAGUGAGUUAUUUGAUUCUUUUAACCCUAACAUCGAUCAAAUUUCAUAUUUGGUUUCGUUUGAAUUGGAAUUUCUCAUGUAUCUUUUUCCUAUUCAUUUCUUUCGAUUGAAUGUUUAUGGUUCUAUUGAUGUUCGUUUGUCAAUUUAUCCAAGGAAUGAUGAUUUUAAUGUUUGGGUUUCAUUUUUCACUAAUUUGUCAACUAAUUUUUUUUCUGUUAACAUUGUUUCUUAACAAACAUACCAAGUGUUCCACGAAAUUCCUCAAUGAGUAUAGACGCUAGGUAUUUAUUUGAUUAGGUCAUUUACAUGAUGAUAUCAUAAUUUAUCCCUGACUUAUCUUGACUUAUCUUAUUCAGGGGCUAAAAUUAGAGUUAGAAAAAGCUUCUCCUUCUUUGAGGAGCAAUGCAGUUUACUUUAGGGAUUCACACAUUAAUGGAUUUCCAUAGUAAGACCUCUAUUCACACGUUUUAUUAAUUGAUAUUGUUGUUUGUUAUGGAUUAGCAGAAAAUGGGAGAAGGUUUACAGAUAAAUAUAGUGUGUGUAUUUAAGUGACAAGUACCAUAUUAUGGCAUCUAUGCAUGUAUGAUAAAUACCAUAUUAUAUCAUCAUUGUUUCCACCAAACAAUGUGUAUAUGAGCCUAUUUAUAGCAUUUUAUAUCAGCUGUAUAAAACAGCGGCGUAAUGGUAAUUUAUUUGAUAAGUCUAUAACAAAAGUUGUGCUUUGUGGCUUAUUUAUGAGGUAAAUGCAUAAAAUAUCAUUAUACUUUGAAAUUGAACCUAUAAAUACAUAAAAUUCAGGAACAAAAUAGGGGUGGGGUAUAAUGGUCAAUUUGAUUGGUUGCACUAUAAUUGAAGUUAUUGAUAUCAAAAGAUUGAAUAUGAUAAUACAAUGUUAUUUAACUGUUUCUGUUACUUUUUUGUGUUCAUAUACCUCUAAAUAGCAAUGUUCUUUCAAUUGUAUGUCUCAUAUAACAUCCUACUUUCAUAGAUAAACAAUUUUUAAAAAUAAACAGGGACCUUUUUCGUAAAGUUAGUAAAACAGGGUCCAUUCAUGUAUUUACAUUUCCCUAUUAUUAAAAUAUGGACCAUUUAUAUAAUUUAUAUUUUUUUAUACAACUUCAUUACCUAUCACCUCUGUAAAAUAUAGCAUCUUACAAUUAUUUUUAUUCUAAAUUCACUGAAUAAUGAUGCUAUGUUAAAGUACAUAGCUAUUUACUUUUAAUUUCUGAAUACCGGCAGUUUCUAUUAAUUUUGAAAAAACAAGGACCAUUUUAGUAAACUUUUAAAAGCAGGUCCAAAGUAAUAUACCUUAGUACAUGAAGAAAACACAUUCAGCCUAUGCAGCACUUAUAACUAUUUUCAUCCCCUUAAUACAUGAAUAAAUUAUCUUAUUAUGCCAUCAACAUACCAUUACUAAUUGACAAAGAUACACAUACAAAUUCAUAAGGGGUACUGCUAAAUGUAAGAAAUACCUACGUAUUUCAAUUUUUUUUGUAUAUUAUAACAUUAUAUUGACAUUUUAAAUCACGGACCAUAUUUUUUUACUUUAAUAACUAACUUUUAGACAAUUGCACAAAAUAACAUGGACUUCCAUAAAAAAACAUAUUUGUGUAUAUUCACUAAUAAAUACAUUUGCAAAUGAUUAAAAUUUCAUGCUAAAAC